This 280-nucleotide ribosomal RNA is filed under the name uncultured prokaryote. RNAcentral's name for it is "partial 16S ribosomal RNA". It matches the Rfam family "Bacterial small subunit ribosomal RNA", at positions 524 to 803 of the family's 1533-position model. The record is from RNAcentral.
UACGUAGGGGCAAGCGUUAUCCGGAUUUACUGGGCGUAAAGGGUGCGUAGGUGGUUUCUUAAGUCAGAGGUGAAAGGCUACGGCUCAACCGUAGUAAGCCUUUGAAACUGGGAAACUUGAGUGCAGGAGAGGAGAGUGGAAUUCCUAGUGUAGCGGUGAAAUGCGUAGAUAUUAGGAGGAACACCAGUUGCGAAGGCGGCUCUCUGGACUGUAACUGACACUGAGGCACGAAAGCGUGGGGAGCAAACAGGAUUAGAUACCCGGGUAGUCCCUGAGCGGG